UCGACCUGAGCUCAGGCAAGAUUACCCGGCUGAACUUAAGCAUA
RNAcentral lists this ribosomal RNA (44 nucleotides) under Dictyosphaerium sp. CB 2008/80. Its description in RNAcentral is "partial 28S ribosomal RNA". Lineage: Eukaryota; Viridiplantae; Chlorophyta; Trebouxiophyceae; Chlorellales; Chlorellaceae. The record is from RNAcentral.